Long non-coding RNA from Zingiber officinale, 917 nucleotides. RefSeq lists it as uncharacterized. NCBI's taxonomy places the organism in Eukaryota, Viridiplantae, Streptophyta, Magnoliopsida, Zingiberales, Zingiberaceae. The transcript has 3 exons. The record is from RefSeq and is a predicted model, not a curated record.
CCAAACUAUGCCAUUGGUCACGUGGCACCAGCUGCGGCGAAUGAGCUACUGCCACCGACGCGCUCUGCCUCUCCGCAGUCGAUGAUCGUCCACGCCCUCGCCUGAGCUGGCGCCGCCGGAAUCGCCGCUUUCCGCCAUCGCUCCUGCUCUCAUCCCGUGUCGAGGGCUUUGAUCUUUCUUAUUCGGUGUUUUGAGAGAAAGUGUGGCCGAGUUAGGCGGGGGAGGUGCCAGAUUUGCUUGUCCGGCAGCCUAGAAUGGAUUUAGCUUGUGGCGUUCGGAUGUCGUCGACGGCGCACGAUUGUGGCAUCGGUUUGGGUUAUUGGAAGUUCGCUUACAGAGGUCGGAGUCGCUAUUUAGUUCGCGACUCUGUGGUUCAUUUUGCGAUUGAUUCGCCGGGGAGGAAACGUUGCGAGCUUCGUUGCGUUCGAGGGGGAGCGUAUGGGAGAGAUUUCGCGGACUCGCAAAAGAGGAGAGUUUCUGGAAGCGAUCUCUUUAACCAUAGGAAACUUUUGAAGCGGCCCAUGCUAUUGAAUAAUCACUCCAACGAUUCCAUCGCAUAUAUUGGUGUUAGCUGAGAGGAUACUGAUUUGAUUGGAGGUGAAUUAGUAGAUGAACACGAGUCUCCUAUGGAGGAAUCAGAAGUAGAGCAUGUUUAUGAUUCUAAGUCGAUUAGUCCGCUGGUAGAGGAAAAGGACGCCUGUCAGCUGGAUGAGCUGAGGGAGUUGCUUCAUGUCAGCUCCUCCAUGUUAGACAUAUAGGCUUUCUUUAUAAGUAGUCGAGCAGAAAGGACCUCACAACUGCUUCAGCAGCCAGAUAUAAUCACCAUCGAGGAAGUUGCCUCAUCUUCCAAGUCUAUGAUGCAGGCAAUAAGGAAGAUCCCUAAAACAUUAAAGAAGCUUAUUCAACUCUUAUCUCAG